Molecule: ribosomal RNA, 465 nt
Filed under: uncultured bacterium
Lineage: Bacteria
Description: bacterial SSU rRNA
Rfam family: Bacterial small subunit ribosomal RNA
Source: RNAcentral
ACCAGACUCCUACGGGAGGCAGCAGUGAGGAAUAUUGGUCAAUGGGCGGGAGCCUGAACCAGCCAAGUCGCGUGAGGGAAGACGGUCCUAUGGAUUGUAAACCUCUUUAGGCGGGGAGCAAUGCCGGGCACGCGUGUCCGGAGGGAGAGUACCCGCAGAAUAAGCAUCGGCUAACUCCGUGCCAGCAGCCGCGGUAAUACGGAGGAUGCGAGCGUUAUCCGGAUUUAUUGGGUUUAAAGGGUGCGUAGGCGGAUUUUUAAGUCAGCGGUAAAAUCGCGGGGCUCAACCUCGCUCCGCCGUUGAAACUGGCGUUCUUGAGUGGGCGAGAAGUAUGCGGAAUGCGUGGUGUAGCGGUGAAAUGCAUAGAUAUCACGCAGAACUCCGAUUGCGAAGGCAGCAUACCGGCGCCCUACUGACGCUGAGGCGCGAAAGUGCGGGGAUCGAACAGGAUUAGAUACCCCAGUA